Molecule: long non-coding RNA, 2643 nt
Organism: Hemicordylus capensis (graceful crag lizard)
Lineage: Eukaryota; Metazoa; Chordata; Lepidosauria; Squamata; Cordylidae
Exons: 3
Source: RefSeq, a predicted model, not a curated record
GGUAGCUGCUCACAGUAUAACAAGAAGGGCAGCAGCAACAGCACAGGAAUAAUAGAGGGGCAUCUGGUUGGCCAGUGUGAGAAACAGCAGGAAACUGCACAGGGCAGCAGAGAGCAGGUUAGCUGAUGAAAAAGUGUCUGGGAUCAAUGAUGGACUGCAUGAGGGCCAAUAGGCUGAAGUUCAACCUUGACAAGACAGAUCCGAUUUGUGGGUGGCCUCUCUGACCAUGGAGGUGUUUUCAUCAGCUGUGGUCUCUCUUGGAGAAAGAUAGCCUGGCCACAAUAAUCCAUGGACUGGGAACCUCCAUGGCUGAUUACUGCAAUGUGUUAUAUGUGGUGCUGCCUUUGAAGUAGGCAAAAACUGAGGAGACAUCAUGCCAGUUUUGAAACAUCUUCAUUUAAAAUAUCUCCAACCAUUUCCAAGCAUAGUUCAUAUUUUUGGUUUCUUACCUUUAAAGCCUUUUAAAGAUUAGGACCUGGGUACCCAAAAGACCAUAUUUUCCUCACAGAUAUUGCCAGUGGUUAAGAUCAUUGCUGGAGGCUCAGGUUUUUCUCUUGGUUCCUCCAUCUUCUGAAGUCAGGCACUUGGCCAUUACAGGGAGGGCCUUUUUGGCUGAGGAAACCCGGUUGUGGGCUUCCCUCCCUCUCGUGACUUCUAGUACCAGGCAAAAAUCUUAUUUCCCCAGGCUGUUUUCUAAAAAUGCCAUUUGAGUUUUAAUUAUUGACCUCAUGUGGAGUUUUGUUUGUUCUGCUGAUGGUGGGCCCCCACCUCCUUGUUUUAAUUGCUGUUUUAGUAGAUUAUUGUAUUGUUAAUUUGUUUAACAUGUCUGAAAUUGCUGCCUUAAGAGAAUUCUCUUCAGAAGGUGUGGGAAAUAUUAACAAACAGUAAAACUGCCUGUCAAUAGGGAUUGUAGGAUUCUUUGCUAACUGAAUGCUCCAUGGACAAAGAAGUGGUCAUAAAAGUAGGAAACAAAAGAUGAAGGUUUGGGGAAAUAAAGACCAUCCUGAAAUACAUACAAAGCACUCCUAGAACUCAGUUGCACAUCUUCACCUAACUUGAAAAGUUAAACUUUGGUCAAGAUGCUGCAGACAUUGAAAUUUCUGAAUAGGCAUCAGAUGAUAUUGUUUGUCCAGAUAAAUGUCUCUACAAAAGGCAAUGUCAGUGAGCAGCAGAGUUUGAUCACUUUCCAACAGAGAGUUGUAGGACCCAAGAAACUUGGGCUCUCAUACAAAAUGGCAGCUCCCUAUUUGUUUGCUCCCCAAUAUUAAUAUCAUUUGGCAGUUGGAGGCUUUUCUGGGAAAGAGGUUCCUUAUGUGUUUUUGAAUGGAAUUGUGUCAGACUGCAGCAGAUAGAUUGCAUGAGUACUCACUCAAAUAAAUUCUAUAAAGCAAAACAUAGAAAACGAGUGUGCUAGGGCUAAGGCCAGGAUAUAGAUUAAAACUCUUCUUUGACAUGUUAGACAUCAGUGUCCAGGGCAAUUUAUAUAUGGGGGAUCAUUCACUCAUUUAUGCAAUUUUCCCCACCUGCAAUCUGAAGUGGUACAGCCCAAUGGAGAGCUGUGGGUCUGGGGGGCCUCUCAGAUAGGAAUGCUUCAAUACAAGCUUCUGAGACUAUUGGCAGCUGGCACUUCCCCCCUUUUAUAUAGUUAGGUGCAGGGAAGCUUUUGCAUUCAUUUCUCAAAACCCACUUCCCAAACGCUGCACAUGGAAAUCAGAAGGAGAGAACAGCCAAAAGUAAGCAGUGAGGCAGACAUUCUGCUUUAGAUAAAGAAUAGGAGGUAACCUAAGAACAACUACCACCAAUCUACUACUGAAGUAUGAAAGAGGUACAGCAGACAUGUAAUGAAAAGCACAUGUUAUGGCACUGUAAUUGAGAGGAAGAAAAUUAAGGAGAUGUGGAGGAAGUGUUUUACCUACUACUUUAUGGUCUUUUGAAGGAAGCUGUGGGUACCUUCAUUAUUUAAAGGCUUAACAUCUCAUUGGGGCUUCACAGAGUAUUCUGUGUAGGCCAGUCAUGCUUCAGUCAUGACAGGAUGGCAAGAUCCAGUGCAGAUUUUUAAAUUGCUAAAUAUUUGCUUUUUCAUGUCUGAAAGGAAUAUGUGAAAUUGGGACAUACGAGUUCAUAGCAGCUCCUUGCAUUAUUUGAAAAAUGGUGGUUUAAAAACAAACAAACAAAUUGCCCAGUGACCUUCUACAAAUCCGCAUUUCAGGUAUAACAACACAAUAAGUGUGUGAGCAUUCAUUGGGGGCUGUUGGACUGGUGUAACAUUUGUACAGGCUCCAAAAUGAUAGUAUGGCUAGCUGGCACACUCCUGCUCAUCCCAUGCAUGCAUUUGCCAUCCAUCCUUGGAUGGUGAACAAAUGAAUGGGGCUCUCAUGUUUAAGAGACUGGGAAAUCUGAAUUUGAAUCCCAGUUGGCACACAGCUUCUUUGUAUGGCAAAGAUACUGCAAGAUUCCAUACCGCUUUUCCUUGUCUGCACUGCGAAGGCAAUACUUCUGCCUUGGAUGAUCUCCAGCUCCGAGAUUUUUCGGUAAAGGCUGACCUUUAUUGUUUGUUCAUAUGGAUGGUGCAUAAUAUGAUAAGUUAAAAUCUUGAUUUUAUAAUAAAAAAUCUUGAUAAAAAUCUUGAUCAUAUAAAAUGAU